UACGUAGGGGGCAAGCGUUAUCCGGAAUUACUGGGUGUAAAGGGAGCGUAGACGGUAAUGUAAGUCUGGAGUGAAAGCCCGCGGCCCAACCGCGGGACUGCAUUGGGAACUACCGGGCUGGAGUGCCGGAGAGGUAGGCGGAAUUCCUAGUGUAGCGGUGAAAUGCGUAGAUAUUAGGAGGAACACCAGUGGCGAAGGCGGCCUACUGGACGGUGACUGACGCUGAGGCUCGAAAGCGUGGGGAGCAAACAGG
RNAcentral lists this ribosomal RNA (253 nucleotides) under uncultured bacterium. RNAcentral describes it as "partial 16S ribosomal RNA". It matches the Rfam family "Bacterial small subunit ribosomal RNA", at positions 524 to 776 of the family's 1533-position model. The record is from RNAcentral.